This is a long non-coding RNA of Vidua macroura (Pin-tailed whydah), 334 nucleotides long. RefSeq lists it as uncharacterized. NCBI's taxonomy places the organism in Eukaryota, Metazoa, Chordata, Aves, Passeriformes, Viduidae. The transcript has 2 exons. The record is from RefSeq and is a predicted model, not a curated record.
AUGUCGGGAGGUGCAGUCCCGCUCCCUCAGCCUGGCUGUGGGACCCCCUCAGCCCCGGCUGAGAGCCCGGGACGCUCCGGCAGCCCGGCCAGGCUCUGCAGCCGCCCUCGGCCUCUUCCAGGCGAACGGGCCCCGCGUUUCUGGGCAGCUAACGCAGAUGCUCGGCUCUCCCUUGGCACAUGAACACACGAGUAGGCAGGGCUGACAUGGCCGCUGUCCUGUCACAGUACAGCCCAGCACCGAGACCUUCAGGCUCUGCUAUUUCAAGUUCAGCUGCACACUGUGAGGCCCAGGGAAGGAAUUACCUGAGAAGGCUUUACACUCAAAAUGAAUU